UCAAUCUCAUGAAUUAGUAGACAACAUGAAAGAUGCUUUUUCCAUAAAAUAUGAAACAAAAGUAUAUUUACAUCUACCAAUGAGUUCGGCAACCAAAACCCCCGAGAAGAGUGGCUUUCCAUUUGAGAGAAUUGAGCGUGAGGGUUUGAAAAACAUUCCAGGACAUGAUAUAUCAAAAUUAGGUGGUCUACAUAGAGAAUAUGCAGUUUUGAAGGAUAUAAUUAUGUCAUCCAUGAAGAACUCUUUGUCAAGUCUUGGUUUACGGCCAACAAAAGGAGUGCUUCUUCAUGGCCCACCUGGCACAGGAAAGACCUCUUUGGCUCAAUUAUGUGCUUUUGAUGCUGGUGUCAACCUUUUCUCUGUGAAUGGACCUGAGAUAAUAAGUCAACAUCAUGGAGAAAGUGAGCAAGCAAUUAAUGAAGUUUUUUAUUCUGCCAGUCGAGAUGCACCUGCUGUGAUUUUUAUUGAUGAGUUGGAUGCUAUUGCUCCUUCACGGAAAGAUGGAGGUGAAGAACUU
RNAcentral lists this unclassified non-coding RNA (517 nucleotides) under Hevea brasiliensis (rubber tree). The record is from RNAcentral. Lineage: Eukaryota; Viridiplantae; Streptophyta; Magnoliopsida; Malpighiales; Euphorbiaceae.